Molecule: long non-coding RNA, 528 nt
Organism: Peromyscus leucopus (white-footed mouse)
Lineage: Eukaryota; Metazoa; Chordata; Mammalia; Rodentia; Cricetidae
Exons: 4
Source: RefSeq, a predicted model, not a curated record
GCUGUGCUGGAAGGAGACAGCAGCAGCGUGCCUGUGGGAGAACACUGACUAAGGAGGGCUCCAGAACACAGAACUUCUCAAAAUUCAGGACCUGCGAGUACCCCAGGUUGAGAAAGCAAUAAGGAACCAAACUUUACGUGUCUUGUGAGUCUAACCACCGGGAGUUUCAGAUCCGUGGAUUUGGUGAGGACCUUCUUGCUGUGUCGUCUCAUUCUGGAAGGGGAAAGGUGGAAGGAAUGAAUAAAGAAGGGAAGGACAAAGAGACAUCCACAGGCAUCAAAGGCAUCUCCAAAGGACAAAAGAAAGAGAAGAGCCAGCUGUUUAUUUCUGGAUUCCCGAGUUGUUUGUUAUCAGCUUCUCUCAGUUUCUUGACUGAAGACCAGAUCAGCUGACCUCCAACUUCUGCUGUCAUGUCUUGCCUACUGUGACGGACUGCAUCUUAGAACUAUGAUCCAGAAGAAGCCUCACUCCUUUAAGUUGCCUUUGUCAAUUUUUUUUUGUAACAACAAAUAAAUGCUGUUCCUACCU